This 406-nucleotide ribosomal RNA is filed under the name Acanthamoeba sp. RNAcentral's name for it is "SSU rRNA". It matches the Rfam family "Eukaryotic small subunit ribosomal RNA", at positions 789 to 1097 of the family's 1831-position model. Lineage: Eukaryota; Discosea; Longamoebia; Acanthamoebidae. The record is from RNAcentral.
UCUGCCCCGGAUACAUUAGCAUGGGAUAAUGGAAUAGGACCCUGUCCUCCUAUUUUCAGUUGGUUUUGGCAGCGCGAGGACUAGGGUAAUGAUUAAUAGGGAUAGUUGGGGGCAUUAAUAUUUAAUUGUCAGAGGUGAAAUUCUUGGAUUUAUGAAAGAUUAACUUCUGCGAAAGCAUCUGCCAAGGAUGUUUUCAUUAAUCAAGAACGAAAGUUAGGGGAUCGAAGACGAUCAGAUACCGUCGUAGUCUUAACCAUAAACGAUGCCGACCAGCGAUUAGGAGACGUUGAAUACAAAACACCACCAUCGGUUGCGGUCGUCCUUGGCGUCUCGGUUUCGGCCGGGGCGCGGGGAUGGCUUAGCCCGGUGGCACCGGUGAAUGACUCCCCUAGCAGCUUGUGAGAUA